GGCUGCUGAGCUUUGCUCGGAGUCAUUAUGUAGCAGGUCCAGGGCUGCAUACCUGCCGGCCUUCCCGUGCCGCCGCGCCUAAGGAAGUGGUUCCCAACGAGACCCGGCAGUAAGCGAGCAGCCAUUCCAGCAGCUAAAUCACAGGAGCCCUAGACAGACCGGAGCCGACAAAAAUGUAGGUUUUGACAUUAAAAGCUAAAUGGGGAAGCAGAAGGUAAAUUGAUGGUAGAUGGGGAUGUCAGUGCCCUGGCCUCAGCCCUCCGCCCGCGGAGCCAAGGCCUGAUAACAGCGGAGCUCUGCGCUUCGCAUCCUUCCCGCACCCGGGGGCAUCGGCAUCCCGUCGAUCUGUCCGGUCAUUCCUCCAGGCCAAAACAUUUGGGGGAGCUUUUACCGAGGUUAAAGGCACGUAAGAGGAGGGAUAGCAGGCUUUCCCACUCUGCAACUUUUCUCUGUGGGUGCAGGAAGGAAGAGGGAAGGGAGGGCAGGGUGGAGAGCAGCCGGGGCGCUGGAGCCUUUUCCCCCCAGAUGGACUCACGGAUCCGUGUUUUAGGCUUGUAGCCUCGUUUCAUGGCUAAGGCAGCGAGACCCCAUGGCUAAGGCAGUGAGACCCUCUGCUCUCUCUCAAGAGAACACAGCACUUUGAUUUUUAUUUUUUUUUUUUUCUCCCCUUGAAAAGGAAGAGCACCAAAACUCCCCCGGGUGACGUCCCGCCUCCCGUUCCCUCCCAGGGAGAGGCCCCUCCGUUCCCCGGGUUGCGGGCCCGGCUGCACGCCCGAAAC
Hirundo rustica (Barn swallow) is the source of this 779-nucleotide long non-coding RNA. RefSeq lists it as uncharacterized. The record is from RefSeq and is a predicted model, not a curated record. The transcript has 3 exons. NCBI's taxonomy places the organism in Eukaryota, Metazoa, Chordata, Aves, Passeriformes, Hirundinidae.